This 70-nucleotide transfer RNA is filed under the name Ameiurus melas (black bullhead). It matches the Rfam family "tRNA". From Rfam's summary of the family: Transfer RNA (tRNA) molecules are approximately 80 nucleotides in length. The record is from Rfam by way of RNAcentral. Lineage: Eukaryota; Metazoa; Chordata; Actinopteri; Siluriformes; Ictaluridae.
GCAUUGGUGGUUCAGUGGUAGAAUUCUAGCUUGCCAUGUUGGAGCCUGGGGUCGAUUCCCAGCCAAUGCA